Molecule: transfer RNA, 72 nt
Filed under: Ovis aries (sheep)
Lineage: Eukaryota; Metazoa; Chordata; Mammalia; Artiodactyla; Bovidae
Rfam family: tRNA
About the family: Transfer RNA (tRNA) molecules are approximately 80 nucleotides in length.
Source: Rfam by way of RNAcentral
UCCCUAGUGGCUCAGAUGGUAAAGCGUCUGUCUGAAAUGCAGAAGACCUGAGUUCAAUCCCUGGGUUGGGAA